GAUAUGGCUCAGGAUGGACGCUAGCUACAGGCUUAACACAUGCAAGUCGAGGGGCAGCAUGGUCUUAGCUUGCUAAGGCUGAUGGCGACCGGCGCACGGGUGAGUAACACGUAUCCAACCUGCCGUCUACUCUUGGCCAGCCUUCUGAAAGGAAGAUUAAUCCAGGAUGGGAUCAUGAGUUCACAUGUCCGCAUGAUUAAAGGUAUUUUCCGGUAGACGAUGGGG
Molecule: ribosomal RNA, 225 nt
Filed under: uncultured bacterium
Lineage: Bacteria
Description: partial 16S ribosomal RNA
Rfam family: Bacterial small subunit ribosomal RNA
Source: RNAcentral